GAAAGAUGAAAAGAACUUUGAAAAGAGAGUUAAACAGUACGUGAAAUUGUUGAAAGGGAAACGAUUGAAGUCAGUCGUACCAGCGGGAAAUCAACCUUUCGAGUGGGGUUUUGGAGUUUUGAAGUGUGUCAAAACCUUUGAGAUUUCAAAAAUUUCGCUCUUUUGGUGUACUUUCUCGUAGGUAGGUUAACAUCGAUUUUGAUCAUCAUAAAAGGAUUGGAGGAAUGUAGCUUCGAUCUCGUAUUGAAGUGUUAUA
This 256-nucleotide ribosomal RNA is filed under the name uncultured Septoglomus. RNAcentral describes it as "partial large subunit ribosomal RNA". It matches the Rfam family "Eukaryotic large subunit ribosomal RNA", at positions 359 to 565 of the family's 3401-position model. The record is from RNAcentral. Lineage: Eukaryota; Fungi; Glomeromycota; Glomeromycetes; Glomerales; Glomeraceae.